RNAcentral lists this ribosomal RNA (497 nucleotides) under uncultured bacterium. RNAcentral's name for it is "partial 16S ribosomal RNA". It matches the Rfam family "Bacterial small subunit ribosomal RNA", at positions 28 to 507 of the family's 1533-position model. The record is from RNAcentral.
GAUGAACGCUGGCGGCGUGCCUAAUACAUGCAAGUCGAGCGAACGGACGAGAAGCUUGCUUCUCUGAUGUUAGCGGCGGACGGGUGAGUAACACGUGGAUAACCUACCUAUAAGACUGGGAUAACUUCGGGAAACCGGAGCUAAUACCGGAUAAUAUUUUGAACCGCAUGGUUCAAAAGUGAAAGACGGUCUUGCUGUCACUUAUAGAUGGAUCCGCGCUGCAUUAGCUAGUUGGUAAGGUAACGGCUUACCAAGGCAACGAUGCAUAGCCGACCUGAGAGGGUGAUCGGCCACACUGGAACUGAGACACGGUCCAGACUCCUACGGGAGGCAGCAGUAGGGAAUCUUCCGCAAUGGGCGAAAGCAUGACGGAGCAACGCCGCGUGAGUGAUGAAGGUCUUCGGAUCGUAAAACUCUGUUAUUAGGGAAGAACAUAUGCGUAAGUAACUGUGCACAUCUUGACGGUACCUAAUCAGAAAGCCACGGCUAACUACGUG